RNAcentral lists this transfer RNA (69 nucleotides) under Tylochromis polylepis. RNAcentral's name for it is "tRNA-Ala". It matches the Rfam family "tRNA". From Rfam's summary of the family: Transfer RNA (tRNA) molecules are approximately 80 nucleotides in length. Their secondary structure includes four short double-helical elements and three loops (D, anti-codon, and T loops). The record is from RNAcentral. Lineage: Eukaryota; Metazoa; Chordata; Actinopteri; Cichliformes; Cichlidae.
AAGGCUUUAGUUUAAUUAAAGUGUCUGUUUUGCAUGCAGAAGAUGUGGGUUAGUGUCCUGCAAGUCUUA